This 206-nucleotide long non-coding RNA is filed under the name Nicotiana benthamiana. RNAcentral's name for it is "long non-coding RNA (NBEN_LNC039600)". Lineage: Eukaryota; Viridiplantae; Streptophyta; Magnoliopsida; Solanales; Solanaceae. The record is from RNAcentral.
GAUAGCUUUAGUCUGUGUCAGUGUAUAUUGAAGUAAUGUUGCUUUGGGAAGUUUUAAUCUUCCACUGGGCAUGAAAAUACUUACUAUUGGCAUCACAGUUGCAAUCCAACAUGCUUUGGAUUUCUGUCUCAUAACUUGUUCCUCCACAGCACUCAAUUUCUCAAUGUCUGCUAAGACAGCUUUCUCUUCAUCAAAUAGCACCUGUG